This 361-nucleotide ribosomal RNA is filed under the name uncultured bacterium. RNAcentral describes it as "bacterial SSU rRNA". It matches the Rfam family "Bacterial small subunit ribosomal RNA", at positions 112 to 494 of the family's 1533-position model. The record is from RNAcentral.
AACACGUGGGAACGUGCCCUUCAGUUCGGAACAACCUCAAGUGGCAAACUUGGGCUAAUACCGGAUACGUCCGUAAGGAGAAAGAUUUAUCUGCUGAAGGAUCGGCCCGCGUUCUGAUUAGCUUGUUGGUGAGGUAACGGCUCACCAAGGCGACGAUCAGUAGCUGGUCUGAGAGGAUGAUCAGCCUCACUGGGACUGAGACACGGCCCAGACUCCAUAACGGGAGGCAGCAGUGGGGAAUAUUGGACAAUGGGCGCAAGCCUGAAUCCAGCCAUGCCGCGUGGGUGAUGAAGGCCUUAGGGUUGUAAAGCCCUUUCGGGCGGGGAACGAUAAUUGACGGGAACCCGGAAGAAGAAGCCCC